RNAcentral lists this ribosomal RNA (466 nucleotides) under uncultured eukaryote. RNAcentral describes it as "SSU rRNA". It matches the Rfam family "Eukaryotic small subunit ribosomal RNA", at positions 754 to 1222 of the family's 1831-position model. The record is from RNAcentral.
UCGACGAUGUUACUCUGAGUAAAUUAGAGUGUUCAAAGCAAGCUGUCGCUCUGAAUAUGAUAGCAUGGGAUAACACGACAGGACUCUGGCCUAUCGUGUUGGUCUGUAGGACCGGAGUAAUGAUUAAGAGGGACGGUCGGGGGCAUUCGUAUUCCAUUGUCAGAGGUGAAAUUCUUGGAUUUAUGGGGGACGAACASUUGCGAAAGCAUUUGCCAAGGAUGUUUUCAUUGAUCAAGAACGAAAGUUGGGGGCUCGAAGACGAUUAGAUACCGUUGUAGUCUCAACCAUAAACGAUGCCGACUCGGGAUGGGCGGGUGUUUAUUUGAUGACCCCGCCAGCACCGUAUGAGAAAUUAAAGUUUCUGGGUUCCGGGGGGAGUAUGGUCGCAAGGCUGAAACUUAAAGGAAUUGACGGAAGGGCACCACCAGGCGUGGAGCCUGCGGCUCAAUUUGACUCAACACGGGAA